UGGUGGGUAGUUUGACUGGGGCGGUCUCCUCCUAAAGAGUAACGGAGGAGCACGAAGGUUGGCUAAUCCUGGUCGGACAUCAGGAGGUUAGUGCAAUGGCAUAAGCCAGCUUGACUGCGAGCGUGACGGCGCGAGCAGGUGCGAAAGCAGGUCAUAGUGAUCCGGUGGUUCUGAAUGGAAGGGCCAUCGCUCAACGGAUAAAAGGUACUCCGGGGAUAACAGGCUGAUACCGCCCAAGAGUUCAUAUCGACGGCGGUGUUUGGCACCUCGAUGUCGGCUCAUCACAUCCUGGGGCUGAAGUAGGUCCCAAGGGUAUGGCUGUUCGCCAUUUAAAGUGGUACGCGAGCUGGGUUUAGAACGUCGUGAGACAGUUCGGUCCCUAUCUGCCGUGGGCGCUGGAGAACUGAGGGGGGCUGCUCCUAGUACGAGAGGACCGGAGUGGACGCAUCACUGGUGUUCGGGUUGUCAUGCCAAUGGCACUGCCCGGUAGCUAAAUGCGGAAGAGAUAAGUGCUGAAAGCAUCUAAGCACGAAACUUGCCCCGAGAUGAGUUCUCCCUGAGACUUUAAGUCUCCUGAAGGAACGUUGAAGACGACGACGUUGAUAGGCCGGGUGUGUAAGCGCAGCGAUGCGUUGAGCUAACCGGUACUAAUGAACCG
This 658-nucleotide ribosomal RNA is filed under the name Salmonella enterica subsp. enterica serovar Oranienburg. RNAcentral describes it as "partial 23S ribosomal RNA". It matches the Rfam family "Bacterial large subunit ribosomal RNA", at positions 2259 to 2911 of the family's 2925-position model. Lineage: Bacteria; Pseudomonadati; Pseudomonadota; Gammaproteobacteria; Enterobacterales; Enterobacteriaceae. The record is from RNAcentral.